The sequence is a regulatory RNA element, 86 nucleotides long. It matches the Rfam family "Tymovirus/Pomovirus/Furovirus tRNA-like 3' UTR element". The record is from Rfam.
GGAUGAGACGAGUUAGUCUCGACCAUUUUCACACAAUGGUUCUGAGGGGUGCAACUCCCCCCCUUAACUAGAGGGAAAUCUAGCCC